UGGACGAGUUCCCGGAAUGGCUGCAACGUUCCAGCAUCGACCACCGGAUCAAAGACACCAACACCAAGUUGAAGAGGAUCGCUAAAAAGAAAAAAGAGCCUGUCAGUGUUUCAGGGCACCAACAACAAGAAGGAAAAGAAGAAAAACCAUUCCGGAGAAGAUGAUCUCACUUACGGUCCGCGGGAUUACGUCAUUGGAUCAAGGCCGAAACUUUGGACAUGGAUUACUUCUGUCUCGGUUGUCAUCUGGAAAUUAUGGGCCCGUAUGUAUGGAACAUCCGCUCUUCUUUGGAAGUUUAUGCAAUCGCAAAUGCAAAAAUAAACUUCUGGAAACCAGUUGCAGCAUUGGCGAGGACGAUAUUCACGUGAGUUGCUCCAUCUGUGGUGUGGAGGAGUGUGUGGUCUGCGAAAAUGGUUCGUUUUCCAGUUGGCGAUGAAUCGAUGUCCGUUAUGAUGCAAAAGACGCCGUUGUUUUGCCUCCCCUGGGCCAGUUUCACCAUCAGAAUAAUCCCACGGCCUCCUUCAGCCUCGCUCCGACUGGGCCUUAAAACUGAAAAGCUUCCUUCACCCAGAUUUAUACCCAUCGACAUCUGUCCAAGAAAGGGCAACCUUCUCUUUGCGUCGUCAUACUCCACGACAAUCUCGGAGCCGUCAACUACGCCCUUAAUUCACUGCGACUUGAAUUGGAGUAUGGAGAAGCUUUUUUCGAUUUUUUCCACGUCAAGAAUUGCAUCUAACGCAACAACGAGGAAACGCCACUCUUGUGGGCUGUGGAAAAUGUCGCCAGCUACCACAUAACCAUUUCGAGGUUUCUCCAGAUGGAACUGAUCACAUUUGACAUGAAGGAUGCCCAAGGCUCCACCAAACAUCGUCUGGUGAACAUGUUCACAGAACAGAAUUUUAAUCCGCAAAUGGAAGAGCAAUUCAUCAACAACGACCAUUCGGUUCCUCCAUUUCCAGUCUUCCGCCCAGCCGAGAGCCUUUUUUUAUCAAAUACUCUUGGAUUCUUGAAGAUAUCGUGGCAAUAAACCAACCCCUGCCAGCCAACUGGCAGGAGAAACACGACCGGAUGCUGUUUCAGCGCGAUAUACUCGAAGCAAGACGAAAACAAUCAAAGUUCCAGCCUUUUUGGAGCAUUACUCGGUCGUCCAGCUGACUCAUAAAACGGCCAAGAAGAAGAGGAAAUUGAGCAGCGAUCUCCGCCCGUGUUGGAAACUUUGCGAAGCCGUCGGCAGUGCUGACGAGGACAGCGACUUAAUUAGUGACGAAACGGGCGACUUUUCGCUACUCUGACGGAUCAAGCCA
Molecule: long non-coding RNA, 1304 nt
Organism: Daphnia pulicaria
Lineage: Eukaryota; Metazoa; Arthropoda; Branchiopoda; Diplostraca; Daphniidae
Exons: 10
Source: RefSeq, a predicted model, not a curated record